RNAcentral lists this ribosomal RNA (468 nucleotides) under uncultured bacterium. RNAcentral describes it as "partial 16S ribosomal RNA". It matches the Rfam family "Bacterial small subunit ribosomal RNA", at positions 28 to 507 of the family's 1533-position model. The record is from RNAcentral.
GACGAACGCUGGCGGCGUGCUUAACACAUGCAAGUCGAACGGAAAGGCCCUGCUUUUGUGGGGUGCUCGAGUGGCGAACGGGUGAGUAACACGUGAGUAACCUGCCCUUGACUUUGGGAUAACUUCAGGAAACUGGGGCUAAUAUCGGAUAGGAGCUCCUGCUGCAUGGUGGGGGUUGGAAAGUUUCGGCGGUUGGGGAGGGUCUCGCGGGGUAUCAGCUUGUUGGUGGGGUAGUGGCUUACCCAGGCUUUGACGGGUAGCCGGCCUGAGAGGGGGACCGGCCACAUUGGGACUGAGGUACGGCCCAGACUCCUACGGGAGGCAGCAGUGGGGAAUAUUGCACAAUGGGCGGAAGCCUGAUGCAGCAACGCCGCGUGCGGGAUGACGGCCUUCGGGUUGUAAACCGCUUUCGCCUGUGACGAAGCGUGAGUGACGGUAAUGGGUAAAGAAGCACCGGCUAACUACGUG